GCAGUGAAGAACUUGCUUCUUGAAAGGCAUGUAAAUGGUUUAUGAAGUUCGUUCAGGCAUGGGAAAAUCAAAUUACUCUUAUCCCUUAUUAUUUAUGAAGUAAAUUUGUUAUUAUAGAUAAUGUUUCUUUUUUCUGGUGUAUCUUUAAAUGAUUUCUGUUAAUAAUAGUCAAUAGAUACUUGAAGCUAAAGCUUAAUUAACGGUUGGUUUCAAU
This 214-nucleotide long non-coding RNA is filed under the name Lathyrus oleraceus (garden pea). RNAcentral's name for it is "Pisum sativum (pea) long non-coding RNA (PSAT_LNC036453)". Lineage: Eukaryota; Viridiplantae; Streptophyta; Magnoliopsida; Fabales; Fabaceae. The record is from RNAcentral.